RNAcentral lists this ribosomal RNA (253 nucleotides) under uncultured bacterium. RNAcentral describes it as "partial 16S ribosomal RNA". It matches the Rfam family "Bacterial small subunit ribosomal RNA", at positions 524 to 776 of the family's 1533-position model. The record is from RNAcentral.
UACGUAGGGUGCGAGCGUUAAUCGGAAUUACUGGGCGUAAAGCGUGCGCAGGCGGUUUUGUAAGCCGGAUGUGAAAUCCCCGGGCUUAACCUGGGAAUGGCAUUCGGGACUGCAAGGCUGGAGUGCGGCAGAGGAGACUGGAACUCCUGGUGUAGCAGUGAAAUGCGUAGAUAUCAGGAGGAACACCGAUGGCGAAGGCAGGUCUCUGGGCUGACACUGACGCUGAGGUGCGAAAGCGUGGGGAGCAAACGGG